RNAcentral lists this ribosomal RNA (1903 nucleotides) under Salmonella enterica subsp. enterica serovar Typhi. Its description in RNAcentral is "partial 23S ribosomal RNA". It matches the Rfam family "Bacterial large subunit ribosomal RNA", at positions 1 to 1827 of the family's 2925-position model. Lineage: Bacteria; Pseudomonadati; Pseudomonadota; Gammaproteobacteria; Enterobacterales; Enterobacteriaceae. The record is from RNAcentral.
GGUUAAGCGACUAAGCGUACACGGUGGAUGCCCUGGCAGUCAGAGGCGAUGAAGGGCGUGCUAAUCUGCGAUAAGCGCCGGUAAGGUGAUAUGAACCGUUAUAACCGGCGAUACCCGAAUGGGGAAACCCAGUGUGAUUCGUCACACUAUCAUUAACUGAAUCCAUAGGUUAAUGAGGCGAACCGGGGGAACUGAAACAUCUAAGUACCCCGAGGAAAAGAAAUCAACCGAGAUUCCCCCAGUAGCGGCGAGCGAACGGGGAGGAGCCCAGAGCCUGAAUCAGCAUGUGUGUUAGUGGAAGCGUCUGGAAAGGCGCGCGAUACAGGGUGACAGCCCCGUACACAAAAGCGCAUAUGCUGUGAGCUCGAUGAGUAGGGCGGGACACGUGGUAUCCUGUCUGAAUAUGGGGGGACCAUCCUCCAAGGCUAAAUACUCCUGACUGACCGAUAGUGAACCAGUACCGUGAGGGAAAGGCGAAAAGAACCCCGGCGAGGGGAGUGAAAAAGAACCUGAAACCGUGUACGUACAAGCAGUGGGAGCCCCACCACUAAGCCAGUGGUGAACUCCACAUACGCAUCCUUUGCUGAGGAGACGGUUAACGGAGCGAAAGCGACGUUCAACCUCAAAAGAAGCAGAGGGGGCUUAGUGGUGGGGUGACUGCGUACCUUUUGUAUAAUGGGUCAGCGACUUAUAUUCUGUAGCAAGGUUAACCGUAUAGGGGAGCCGGAGGGAAACCGAGUCUUAACCGGGCGUUAAGUUGCAGGGUAUAGACCCGAAACCCGGUGAUCUAGCCAUGGGCAGGUUGAAGGUUGGGUAACACUAACUGGAGGACCGAACCGACUAAUGUUGAAAAAUUAGCGGAUGACCUGUGGCUGGGGGUGAAAGGCCAAUCAAACCGGGAGAUAGCUGGUUCUCCCCGAAAGCUAUUUAGGUAGCGCCUCGUGAAUUCAUCUCCGGGGGUAGAGCACUGUUUCGGCUAGGGGGCCAUCCCGGCUUACCAACCCGAUGCAAACUGCGAAUACCGGAGAAUGUUAUCACGGGAGACACACGGCGGGUGCUAAUGUCCGUCGUGAAGAGGGAAACAACCCAGACCGCCAGCUAAGGUCCCAAAGUCAUGGUUAAGUGGGAAACGAUGUGGGAAGGCCCAGACAGCCAGGAUGUUGGCUUAGAAGCAGCCAUCAUUUAAAGAAAGCGUAAUAGCUCACUGGUCGAGUCGGCCUGCGCGGAAGAUGUAACGGGGCUAAACCAUGCACCGAAGCUGCGGCAGCGACACCGUGUGUUGUUGGGUAGGGGAGCGUUCUGUAAGCCUGUGAAGGUGUGCUGUGAGGCAUGCUGGAGGUAUCAGAAGUGCGAAUGCUGACAUAAGUAACGAUAAAGCGGGUGAAAAGCCCGCUCGCCGGAAGACCAAGGGUUCCUGUCCAACGUUAAUCGGGGCAGGGUGAGUCGACCCCUAAGGCGAGGCCGAAAGGCGUAGUCGAUGGGAAACGGGUUAAUAUUCCCGUACUUGGUGUUACUGCGAAGGGGGGACGGAGAAGGCUAUGUUGGCCGGGCGACGGUUGUCCCGGUUUAAGCGUGUAGGUAUGUGUUCCAGGUAAAUCCGGUUCACUUUAACACUGAGGCGUGACGACGAGGCACUACGGUGCUGAAGCAACAAAUGCCCUGCUUCCAGGAAAAGCCUCUAAGCAUCAGGUAACAUCAAAUCGUACCCCAAACCGACACAGGUGGUCAGGUAGAGAAUACCAAGGCGCUUGAGAGAACUCGGGUGAAGGAACUAGGCAAAAUGGUGCCGUAACUUCGGGAGAAGGCACGCUGACACGUAGGUGAAGUGAUUUACUCACGGAGCUGAAGUCAGCCGAAGAUACCAGCUGGCUGCAACUGUUUAUUAAAAACACAGCACUGUGCA